This 702-nucleotide long non-coding RNA is filed under the name Setaria viridis. RNAcentral describes it as "long non-coding RNA (SVIR_LNC000675)". The record is from RNAcentral. Lineage: Eukaryota; Viridiplantae; Streptophyta; Magnoliopsida; Poales; Poaceae.
UCCGAUAAGUGAGGCGUGGUUACAAACAGUUUCAGACUACACCACAAUGGAAGGAUCUAAACCUAUGGCCUUCCUAGAGGCCGUUUAAGCUAAAGUUUUAAAUAAAAAACUUGUGAAACUAUACCUAAGGAACCUUAUGAUAAAAUUUCAUGAUUUAUGGAUGUGUAACUUAAGAUUUAAGAUUUAGAGUAAUUAAAAGAACAUGAUAUGACUGUUAGUGUUCAGUUUCUUUAAGUUGGUUGUUUGCUGAAAUUGUUAUGUGAACCCAAUGUGUUGCUUAGAACGAUAUGAGGAUGUUGCAUCCAUGCAUUGCAUACAUCUUAAGAUACCUAAAAGAAAAUCAUGAUAAAAUGGUAUUCCAACCCUUGGUUUUCUUGCUAUUUGGAUGUCCAGCUCUGAGCCAAGCUCAAGUAAUCUGCUUACUGUCCAAGAAUUGACUAUGCCAUCUUUAUCUCUCUCAACAGUCGGUGCAUGUGUUCUCCUCAAGUAUUGCCAACACCGAUCCUUUUUAUACUUGAUCUUUCUCUCAUCGCUAGACCUUUCUCACUUGAGCCACAUAUGAACACUCUAUAUAAUGACAUCCGAAAUCCUAUAAAUUGGUUCAAGACUACUGAGAAAAACUCCAUGGUUGGAUCCGAUUAAUGAUAAGCUGUCAGGGUUUUUGUUUCUAAAUUCCGUGCUAUUCCUCUGUUUCCACCUUCC